This 254-nucleotide ribosomal RNA is filed under the name uncultured bacterium. RNAcentral describes it as "partial 16S ribosomal RNA". It matches the Rfam family "Bacterial small subunit ribosomal RNA", at positions 524 to 776 of the family's 1533-position model. The record is from RNAcentral.
UACGUAGGGGGCAAGCGUUGUCCGGAUUCAUUGGGCGUAAAGAGCUCGUAGGCGGCUUGGCAAGUCGGGUGUGAAAACUCCAGGCUCAACCUGGAGACGCCACCCGAUACUGCUAUGGCUUGAGUCCGGUAGGGGACCACGGAAUUCCUGGUGUAGCGGUGAAAUGCGCAGAUAUCAGGAGGAACACCGGUGGCGAAGGCGGGUCUCUGGGCCGAUACUGACGCUGAGGAGCGAAAGCGUGGGGAGCGAACAGG